Molecule: ribosomal RNA, 236 nt
Filed under: uncultured Staphylococcus sp.
Lineage: Bacteria; Bacillati; Bacillota; Bacilli; Caryophanales; Staphylococcaceae
Description: partial 16S ribosomal RNA
Rfam family: Bacterial small subunit ribosomal RNA
Source: RNAcentral
GGGUGAGUAACACGUGGAUAACCUACCUAUAAGACUGGGAUAACUUCGGGAAACCGGAGCUAAUACCGGAUAAUAUGUUGAACCGCAUGGUUCAAAAGUGAAAGACGGUCUUGCUGUCACUUAUAGAUGGAUCCGCGCUGCAUUAGCUAGUCGGUAAGGUAACGGCUUACCAAGGCAACGAUGCAUAGCCGACCUGAGAGGGUGAUCGGCCACACUGGAACUGAGACACGGUCCAG